AUUGAACGCUGGCGGAAUGCUUUACACAUGCAAGUCGAACGGCAGCACGGGGCAACCUGGUGGCGAGUGGCGAACGGUGAGUAAUACAUCGGAACGUGCCCAAUCGUGGGGGAUAACGUAGCGAAAGUUACGCUAAUACCGCAUACGAUCUACGGAUGAAAGCGGGGGAUCGCAAGACCUCGCGCGAAUGGAGCGGCCGAUGUCAGAUUAGGUAGUUGGUGGGUAAAGGCUCACCAAGCCAACGAUCUGUAGCUGGUCUGAGAGACGACCAGCCACACUGGAACUGAGACACGGUCCAGACUCCUACGGGAGGCAGCAGUGGGGAA
RNAcentral lists this ribosomal RNA (326 nucleotides) under uncultured bacterium. RNAcentral's name for it is "bacterial SSU rRNA". It matches the Rfam family "Bacterial small subunit ribosomal RNA", at positions 30 to 361 of the family's 1533-position model. The record is from RNAcentral.